Molecule: transfer RNA, 72 nt
Filed under: Treponema sp.
Lineage: Bacteria; Pseudomonadati; Spirochaetota; Spirochaetia; Treponematales; Treponemataceae
Also listed under: 1 other name
Description: tRNA-Val
Rfam family: tRNA
About the family: Transfer RNA (tRNA) molecules are approximately 80 nucleotides in length. Their secondary structure includes four short double-helical elements and three loops (D, anti-codon, and T loops). Further hydrogen bonds mediate the characteristic L-shaped molecular structure. tRNAs have two regions of fundamental functional importance: the anti-codon, which is responsible for specific mRNA codon recognition, and the 3' end, to which the tRNAs corresponding amino acid is attached (by aminoacyl-tRNA synthetases). tRNAs cope with the degeneracy of the genetic code in two manners: having more than one tRNA (with a specific anti-codon) for a particular amino acid; and 'wobble' base-pairing, i.e. permitting non-standard base-pairing at the 3rd anti-codon position.
Source: RNAcentral
GCUCGAUUAACUCAGUGGUAGAGUGCUACCUUCACACGGUAGAAGUCACUGGUCCGAAUCCAGUAUCGAGCA